This 254-nucleotide ribosomal RNA is filed under the name uncultured bacterium. RNAcentral describes it as "partial 16S ribosomal RNA". It matches the Rfam family "Bacterial small subunit ribosomal RNA", at positions 524 to 777 of the family's 1533-position model. The record is from RNAcentral.
UACAGAGGUCCCAAGCGUUGUUCGGAUUCACUGGGCGUAAAGGGUGCGUAGGCGGUCAGGUAAGUCUGAUGUGAAAUCUCUGGGCUUAACCCAGAAAUGGCAUUGGAUACUAUUUGGCUUGAGAGUUGGAGGGGGGACUGGAAUUCCAGGUGUAGCGGUGAAAUGCGUAGAUAUCUGGAGGAACACCGGUGGCGAAGGCGACAUCCUGGACCGGUAUUGACGCUGAGGCGCGAAAGCCAGGGGAGCAAACGGGG